This 426-nucleotide long non-coding RNA is filed under the name Homo sapiens (human). RNAcentral describes it as "HSALNT0303857". Lineage: Eukaryota; Metazoa; Chordata; Mammalia; Primates; Hominidae. The record is from RNAcentral.
GAAGCACACAGUCCACCCCAGGAAAGCUGUGAUGGCUGUGGACUAAAGAACAGACAAAUAUGAAUGGGAAACAGAUUCCAAAUACAUUCAUGAAAAGAGUAACAGUGGCUGUCCCUGAUGACAGAGAGAAACUCUCCUCCUGGCCUUAAAGGAGCCAACUGGUAUGUGUGGAGAAGGUCACAGGGGAAGGAACAGUGGGAAGCCUCUAAAUACUGAGCAUGGGACUUGAUGGACUGCCAGCAAGAAAGUGGGAAGCUUCGUCCUAUAACUGCAAGGAACUGAAUUCUGCCAACAACCAGUGAGCUUGGAAGGGGCCUCAGAUGAGAUCAGACCAUGGCUGACACCUUAAUUUCAGCCUCAUGAAACCCUGUUCCCAAAGCCCACCUACUCUAUGCUGAACUCCUAACCAUGGAAACUGUGAGAUAA